Non-coding RNA from Nannospalax galili (Upper Galilee mountains blind mole rat), 345 nucleotides. The record is from the annotation of a RefSeq genome assembly. NCBI's taxonomy places the organism in Eukaryota, Metazoa, Chordata, Mammalia, Rodentia, Spalacidae.
AUGGAAGCCCCAUCUCGGGUCCUCUGCCUCCUGUUACUCUGGUUUCCAAACACCACUGGGCAAGUUCUGAUGACACAGAUUCCAGCUUUCCUGUCUUUGGCUCCUGGAGAAAAAGCCACCGUCACCUGCAAGGCCAGCAACAAUAUGGGAAACUACUUAUCCUGGUACCAGCAGAAGCCCGGGCAGGCUCCCAAGCUCCUCAUCUAUGUUGCUUCCAACAGGGCCACUGGUGUUGCAGGCCGCUUCAGUGGCAGUGGAUCUGGGACAGUCUUCACUUUUACUAUCAGCAGCCUGGAGCCUGAGGAUGCUGCAGUUUAUCACUGUUUUCAGUAUAGUAGCGGGUAG